RNAcentral lists this ribosomal RNA (447 nucleotides) under bacterium 3-1C. RNAcentral describes it as "bacterial SSU rRNA". It matches the Rfam family "Bacterial small subunit ribosomal RNA", at positions 1 to 457 of the family's 1533-position model. The record is from RNAcentral.
UCAGAGUUUGAUCCUGGCUCAGGACGAACGCUGGCGGCGUGCCUAAUACAUGCAAGUCGAGCGGACCCUUCGGGGUUAGCGGCGGACGGGUGAGUAACACGUAGGCAACCUGCCUGUAAGACUGGGAUAACUACCGGAAACGGUAGCUAAGACCGGAUAAGUGAUUCUCUCGCAUGAGAGGAUCAAGAAACACGGGGCAACCUGUGGCUUACAGAUGGGCCUGCGGCGCAUUAGCUAGUUGGUGGGGUAACGGCUCACCAAGGCGACGAUGCGUAGCCGACCUGAGAGGGUGAUCGGCCACACUGGGACUGAGACACGGCCCAGACUCCUACGGGAGGCAGCAGUAGGGAAUCUUCCGCAAUGGACGCAAGUCUGACGGAGCAACGCCGCGUGAGUGAUGAAGGUUUUCGGAUCGUAAAGCUCUGUUGCCAGGGAAGAACGUCGUGG